GGGCCCGCACAAGCGGUGGAGCAUGUGGUUUAAUUCGAUGAUACGCGAGGAACCUUACCAGGGCUUAAAUGUAAGUUGCAUAGACCAGAGAUGGUCUUUUCUUCGGACUACUUACAAGGUGCUGCAUGGUUGUCGUCAGCUCGUGCCGUGAGGUGUCAGGUUAAGUCCUAUAACGAGCGCAACCCCUGUCGUUAGUUGCCAUCAAGUAAAGUUGGGUACUCUAGCGAGACUGCCGGUGCAAACCGUGAGGAAGGUGGGGAUGACGUCAAAUCAUCACGGCCCUUACGUCCUGGGCUACACACGUGCUACAAUGGCCGGUACAGAGAGCAGCCACUACGCGAGUAGGAGCGAAUCUAUAAAACCGGUCUCAGUUCGGAUCGCAGUCUGCAACUCGACUGCGUGAAGCUGGAAUC
Molecule: ribosomal RNA, 413 nt
Filed under: uncultured bacterium
Lineage: Bacteria
Description: bacterial SSU rRNA
Rfam family: Bacterial small subunit ribosomal RNA
Source: RNAcentral